Molecule: long non-coding RNA, 465 nt
Filed under: Homo sapiens (human)
Lineage: Eukaryota; Metazoa; Chordata; Mammalia; Primates; Hominidae
Description: HSALNT0373132
Source: RNAcentral
CUCGCUCUUUCUCGUUCCCGUUCUCGCUCUCGCUCUCUCUCCCGUUCUCGCUCUCUCUCCCUCUCUCUCUCUUCUCUUUCUCGUUCCCGUUCUUUUUCCCUGUCUCGUUCCCUCUCUCUUUCCCGCUCUCGAUCGUGGUCUCGGUCUCUAUCCCUUUCACGAUCUCUCUCUUUUUCUCUUUCUCUCUCCCGUUCCCUAGCACGCUCUCUUUCUAGUUCUCUCUCUUUUUCUCUUUCCCGAUCCCGUUCACGUUCCCUCUCUCUCUCCCGCUCCCUGUCUCGUUCUCGUUCCCGAUCUCUCUCUCUAGCCCUUUCAUCUCUCCUAUCAUCCACUCUGUCUACUCUUCGUUCCUCUCUUCUUUCAUCACGCUCAAGCUCGUCAUUCCUUCCCUGAUGUCGAAUUGGUGAGCUUGGUCUUUGAUCUACAAUGAAAAUCAAGUUUUGUCAGUGAUUAAUUUGACAGAUA